This is a long non-coding RNA of Larimichthys crocea (large yellow croaker), 466 nucleotides long. RefSeq lists it as uncharacterized. The transcript is spliced from 3 exons. NCBI's taxonomy places the organism in Eukaryota, Metazoa, Chordata, Actinopteri, Sciaenidae. The record is from RefSeq and is a predicted model, not a curated record.
GCAGGAUGCCCACAUGCAGACCUGCUGCUGUGGUGUAGCCUCUGAUUACAGGAUCAGACAGCCAGCGACACACACCAUCUCCACCCAGCAGUUUGCAAGGCACUUUAACAUGUGGAGGACUGCACCAAGCAGUUUCUAGAUAUGGAUGUCCUUCCAGAAAAAUAAGGACUGAUAGUCACCGAUGGAGAGGUGUCUGGAAGUGCCAAAGAUGAAGUAGAUGAUCAGAGGAUAGAAUGAGGUGUAGAGACCAAACACUGGAGGAAUUCCCACCAACAUGGCAUUGGCCAUACCUGGGAUAGAGGAGGAGAGGUGAAGGGACUUCUUUUCUACUCGCUCCCCAAGGACAUCCAGCUGUGAUUUGUCCAGGGCAACAGCGAGAUGAGGCUGCCUGUCGUGAGGAAGGCCACUUCGAUCAACGCUGUCCAUCUGGAAUCAAUGUCAAAGAUUAUUGAUAGUACAGCUUUUC